This 110-nucleotide transfer RNA is filed under the name Phakopsora pachyrhizi. RNAcentral describes it as "tRNA-Ser". It matches the Rfam family "tRNA". Rfam says of the family: Transfer RNA (tRNA) molecules are approximately 80 nucleotides in length. The record is from RNAcentral. Lineage: Eukaryota; Fungi; Basidiomycota; Pucciniomycetes; Pucciniales; Phakopsoraceae.
GACAACAUGGCCGAGCGGUUAAGGCGAUUGACUAGAAUCUUCUCUAAGACCGUCCAGUGUCUAUCAUCAAUUGGAGUUUCUCCGCGCAGGUUCAAAUCCUGCUGUUGUCG